Molecule: non-coding RNA, 45 nt
Filed under: Neptuniibacter pectenicola
Lineage: Bacteria; Pseudomonadati; Pseudomonadota; Gammaproteobacteria; Oceanospirillales; Oceanospirillaceae
Also listed under: 1 other name
Description: mini-ykkC RNA motif
Rfam family: Guanidine-II riboswitch aptamer (mini-ykkC)
About the family: Simpler in structure and has fewer highly conserved nucleotide positions than the ykkC-yxkD leader.
Source: RNAcentral
AAGUGGGGACGACCUCACCGCUCAACUAUUAAUGGGGACGACCCC